Long non-coding RNA from Oncorhynchus tshawytscha (Chinook salmon), 589 nucleotides. NCBI's taxonomy places the organism in Eukaryota, Metazoa, Chordata, Actinopteri, Salmoniformes, Salmonidae. The record is from Ensembl.
AGAAACACAGCCUAAAACCCCAAACAGCAAGCAAUGCAGGUGUAGAAGCACAUACUACUACUGGAGCCUGGGAGAAAGGAUAGAAACUAUUGCUGGAGGCUGGGAGAAAGAAGAGAAACUACUGCUGGAGGCUGGGAGACAGGAGAGAUACUACUGCUGGUGGCUGGGAGAAAGGCUGGGAGAAAGGAGAGAUACUACUACUGGAGGCUGGGAGAAAGGAGAGAUACUACUACUGCUGGAGGCUGGGAGAAAGGAGAGAAACUACUACUGGAGGCUGGGAGAAAGGAGAGAUACUACUGCUGGAGGCUGGGAGAAAGGAGAGAUACUACUGUAAAGUCCAUACCAGUGUGAUGCAUUACAUGCUCAGUCUACACUGGUAAAUCCCCGUCUCUACCCCUCCCCCCAUUAUCCUAAACACAAUAGCAACACUAUACUACAGACCUACUCUCCUAUCUCUCUCUACACCCCCCCCACACACAAUAUCAACACUAUACUGUAGACCUACUCUCCCCUCUCUCUCUACAACCCCCACCCCCACAAUAUCAACACUAUACUGUAGACCUACUCUCCCCUCUUUCUCUACACCCCC